RNAcentral lists this ribosomal RNA (254 nucleotides) under uncultured bacterium. RNAcentral's name for it is "partial 16S ribosomal RNA". It matches the Rfam family "Bacterial small subunit ribosomal RNA", at positions 524 to 777 of the family's 1533-position model. The record is from RNAcentral.
UACAGAGGGUGCAAGCGUUAAUCGGAAUUACUGGGCGUAAAGCGUGCGUAGACGGUUAUGUAAGUCGGGUGUGAAAUCCCCGGGCUUAACCUGGGAACUGCAUUUGUGACUGCAUAGCUAGAGUACGGUAGAGGGGGAUGGAAUUCCGCGUGUAGCAGUGAAAUGCGUAGAUAUGCGGAGGAACACCGAUGGCGAAGGCAAUCCCCUGGACCUGUACUGACGCUCAUGCACGAAAGCGUGGGGAGCAAACGAGG